UUUUCGUCAAUGCGCUCUUUCCAAAUUCUCCGUGCCUCUCACAAUUGUCUGAGCACUGAAACUCAACCAACUUAACGCGGCUUCCAUUAAUUUCUUCAAAGCUUCAAACUUUUUCAUGCCAACUCUCCCUCUUCUCUUUACUCUCAUCAUUUUCUGAUCUGGGUUUUCUUUACUUCUCAUUCAGAUCCUAAUCUCAUUAAGUGUUUUGGCUUCUGUUGCUUCCCACUUUGGAACUAUUAGUAGAAAGAAGCCAAUUUGGUUCUCGGGUUAUUCAUGGUUUUCUUUAUUUGAGUGUUCAGACUAUGUGAAAUCAACUUUUAAGAAGUUUUUAUUCGUUUUGAAAGUUGAAAGUUGAAGAAAGUCUUAGAACUUUGACUAUGGGCAGAGGUAGAGGAAAGGGGAAGAAGAACACUGUUACAGUUGUUCGUGAAGAGCCUGGAAGUGGAGAAGAAAAGGUUCCAGCUUACCGGAGAAGAGGAAGACCGCAGAAACCAUUGAACGAUGAUGUUCAAAGAGAGGAGGAAACUGAGAAAAUAGAAGAGGAUAGCGACGAAGCAAAGACUUUGUUAUAUCAAGGUGUCACAGAGAAUGGUAGGAAAAGAAAAAGGUCUACACCAGCUAAAGAAAAUAUGGAUUCAGUCAAAGAAGAGAAUGGCAUUGAAACAAAAUCCACACCAGAUGAUUCGACAAAGUUUGUUGGUUUCCGCCACAUUAGCAGUAGGCGGAAAAACAAGCCUCACCGGGCUGCUGAAGCUGGAGUUGAGUGCAAUUGACUAGUGAGCCCUUGAAAAUGGUUGCUUACCUUCUUGUUAAUUGUUGCAUAUAGUAACUACGCAAGUAAGGCAAGCCAUAUCAGUUUACACAUCUGCGAUUAAAGAGUGAGCAAAUGCCCAUAAAAGUUUUUGAUAGCACAUUGAGAUGGGUCCAUCAGGACAUGUCUGGAAUUCGCCAUCAACUUUUUUUCAAGAAGGAAUCUGGUUGCUCCAUUGGCAAGCAAUAGAAGGAAAAAAAAACUAUAUUUGUUUUUUUUUUAUUUCACUUAUUAAUUUGUGUUUCUAUGAGUAUUUUUAAUGGGAAAAAAAUAGUAUCCUCCAAAAAAAAAAAAUAGUAGGUGAUGUAAGAACAUUGAUUUGUUUUUCAGUUUGGAUUUUUGUCUAUGCGCUUACGAAAACUCCUUCACUUAAUGAUAUUUCUUUCAAAUGAAGUUUUGCAUAUUCUCUAAUCGGGGAAUUGCAUAUUAUAUAAUGAAUAUUGAUUUUGAAACAAGUUUUCAAA
Molecule: RNA transcript, 1275 nt
Organism: Humulus lupulus (European hop)
Lineage: Eukaryota; Viridiplantae; Streptophyta; Magnoliopsida; Rosales; Cannabaceae
Exons: 4
Source: RefSeq, a predicted model, not a curated record